CCUACGGGUGGCAGCAGUGGGGGAUAUUGCACAAUGGGGGGAACCCUGAUGCAGCGACGCCGCGUGGGUGAAGGUGCGUUUCGGCGCGUAAAGCCCUAUCGGCAGGGAAGCAGGAGGACGGUACCUGACUAAGAAGCCCCGGCUAACUACGUGCCAGCAGCCGCGGUAAUACGGAGGAUGCGAGCGUUAUCCGGAUUUAUUGGGUUUAAAGGGUGCGUAGGCGGGCAUUUAAGCCGGCGGUCAAAUGUCGGGGCUCAACCCCGGCCUGCCGUCGGAACUGGGUGCCUUGAGUGGGCGAGAAGUAUGCGGAAUGCGUGGUGUAGCGGUGAAAUGCAUAGAUAUCACGCAGAACCCCGAUUGCGAAGGCAGCAUACCGGCGCCCUACUGACGCUGAGGCAUGAAAGUGCGGGUAUCGAACAGGAUUAGAUACCCGAGUAGUC
RNAcentral lists this ribosomal RNA (440 nucleotides) under uncultured bacterium. RNAcentral describes it as "partial 16S ribosomal RNA". It matches the Rfam family "Bacterial small subunit ribosomal RNA", at positions 338 to 795 of the family's 1533-position model. The record is from RNAcentral.